This 526-nucleotide ribosomal RNA is filed under the name uncultured [Caedibacter] sp. RNAcentral describes it as "bacterial SSU rRNA". It matches the Rfam family "Bacterial small subunit ribosomal RNA", at positions 870 to 1398 of the family's 1533-position model. The record is from RNAcentral. Lineage: Bacteria; Pseudomonadati; Pseudomonadota; Alphaproteobacteria; Holosporales.
CGCCUGGGGAGUGCGGCCGCAAGGUUAAAACUCAAAGGAAUUGACGGGGACCCGCACAAGCGGUGGAGCAUGUGGUUUAAUUCGAUGCAACGCGAAAAACCUUACCUACCCUUGACAUCCAUAGAAGACAGAAGAGAUUUUGUUGUGCCUUUGGAACUAUGAGACAGGUGCUGCAUGGCUGUCGUCAGCUCGUGUUGUGAGAUGUUGGGUUAAGUCCCGCAACGAGCGCAACCCUUAUUUUUAGUUGCCAGCAUGUAAAAUGGGCACUUUAAAGAGACUGCCGCUGAUAAGGCGGAGGAAGGUGGGGACGACGUCAAGUCAUCAUGGCCCUUACGGGUAGGGCUACACACGUGCUACAAUGGGCAUUACAGAGGGAAGCGAAAGCGAGAGCUGGAGCAAAGCUUUUAAAGGUGCUCUAAGUCCGGAUUGAACUCUGCAACUCGAGUUCAUGAAGUCGGAAUCGCUAGUAAUCGCGGAUCAGAUGCCGCGGUGAAUACGUUCCCGGGUCUUGAACACACCGCCCGUC